UUGACUAAUCGUAAUUCAACACCUGUCCCUUAUUAUUGAAGAAAAGAGAAGAACAUUAUUGAAUUUGAGCACGCACAUCUAUGGUUAGGCCGCCAAGAAUUACAGCAACAUAAAAGGCAAAAAUACAGCAGGACGACAUUGAAGCAGAUCAAUCAAAAUUUUUUCAUACCUACAUUCAUAUGUAAACCCUUAUGUUCCAUUUUGCGAAUUGAAUGCACUCCAAAUCCUAGAAAGUAAGAGGCUUUGAUGAUGGGAACUAGCUGGGCUGGUUGCCUUGUGAUGGCUGCCGACCAAUGUCAUGUGUUAGAUUCAACAGGUUCUAUGUUGUAGGGUGGUCGGUCCCAUUGCUUCAAUAAUAGAGGAGGUACUGUAAGAAAAAAAGAAGAAGGUAGCCACAAAUUUAUAAGAACCACAUAUUGGAACAAAUACAUAAAACAUGUGAAAUUGACAUACAAAAGACUCAUUCAGGAACCCCCCGUGGAUCACAGGGGCUACAACCAAGCUAAUUUAGACUCUCUGAAAAUUCACGGUAACGAAAUGACAUACGCAUUUCUUUCGACAGUCAUCUCGAGCUGCAAUAAUCAAGUUGACCAACGUAAUUGAAAUUCCUCCGGGAAAUCCAAUAUGGCACACGCUAUCUCUUGUCAAAUCUCAUUGAUGAUGUGCUAUUCUU
Molecule: long non-coding RNA, 673 nt
Filed under: Musa acuminata (dwarf banana)
Lineage: Eukaryota; Viridiplantae; Streptophyta; Magnoliopsida; Zingiberales; Musaceae
Description: long non-coding RNA (MACU_LNC010150)
Source: RNAcentral